This 253-nucleotide ribosomal RNA is filed under the name uncultured bacterium. Its description in RNAcentral is "partial 16S ribosomal RNA". It matches the Rfam family "Bacterial small subunit ribosomal RNA", at positions 524 to 776 of the family's 1533-position model. The record is from RNAcentral.
UACGGAGGGAGCUAGCGUUGUUCGGAAUUACUGGGCGUAAAGCGCGCGUAGGCGGCUUUGUAAGUUAGAGGUGAAAGCCCGGGGCUCAACCCCGGAACUGCCUUUAAAACUGCAUCGCUUGAAUCCGGGAGAGGUGAGUGGAAUUCCGAGUGUAGAGGUGAAAUUCGUAGAUAUUCGCAAGAACACCAGUGGCGAAGGCGGCUCACUGGCCCGGUACUGACGCUGAGGUGCGAAAGCGUGGGGAGCAAACAGG